AACAGUCAGCGGAAGCAUAAAUCCAGCUGGGCCAGGCCCUCCCCACUGCAGUGGGCAGAGCAGGAGCCGGGGCUUUCAGGGGGCAGGUGUCUUUCAGGGGACAAGCGGGGCUGAGCGUUGCUCUAAUCAUGGCCCAUCCUCCCCUCCUCUGUGAUAAAUGACCCCAAGGAGAUUUUGGCGUUGAGACUGAGCCAUCAGAAUUUUGCCGGAGACUCUUUCGUGGCCCAGCCAGGAAAUGGAAGGGGAAGAAACUGGACUCAGCUUUGUGCCUGAGAGCUAGACAUCUUCGUUCACACCCUGCUUCUGUUCGUGAAGAGGCAAAUGGGAGCCAGGCCUGGCAGCUGGGGUCUCACUUUGGCAUCCAGGCUGGCCUCGAACUCAUGACAGUCCUGCCUCAGCCUCCCAAGAGCUGGGAUUAUAGGCCUGUGCCACCACAGCCAGCUUAACUUUCAUACUCUUAAAAUUGAUCUUCUUUUAUGGUAUAGGAGGCUUUCUUUCAUACUCUACGCCUUCAGUUUGGGACAAAAAUAAAACUAUGAUUA
This is a long non-coding RNA of Heterocephalus glaber (naked mole-rat), 542 nucleotides long. RefSeq lists it as uncharacterized. NCBI's taxonomy places the organism in Eukaryota, Metazoa, Chordata, Mammalia, Rodentia, Bathyergidae. The record is from RefSeq and is a predicted model, not a curated record.